AGGCAGCAGUGAGGAAUAUUGGUCAAUGGAGGAACUCUGAACCAGCCAUCCCGCGUGUAGGAAGACGGCCUUAUGGGUUGUAAACUACUUUUAUACAGGAAGAAACGUACCCUCGUGACGGGUGCCUGACGGUACUGUAGGAAUAAGCACCGGCUAACUCCGUGCCAGCAGCCGCGGUAAUACGGAGGGUGCGAGCGUUAUCCGGAUUUAUUGGGUUUAAAGGGUCCGUAGGCGGAUUAAUAAGUCAGUGGUGAAAUCCCAUCGCUUAACGAUGGAACUGCCAUUGAUACUGUUAGUCUUGAAUGAGGGUGCAGUGGUUGGAAUGUGUAGUGUAGCGGUGAAAUGCAUAGAUAUUACACAGAACACCGAUUGCGAAGGCAGAUCACUAACCCUAAAUUGACGCUGAGGGACGAAAGCGUGGGGAGCGAACAGGAUUAGAUACCCUGGUAG
Molecule: ribosomal RNA, 450 nt
Filed under: uncultured bacterium
Lineage: Bacteria
Description: bacterial SSU rRNA
Rfam family: Bacterial small subunit ribosomal RNA
Source: RNAcentral